RNAcentral lists this small RNA (27 nucleotides) under Bombyx mori (domestic silkworm). Its description in RNAcentral is "ovarian small RNA-34639". The record is from RNAcentral. Lineage: Eukaryota; Metazoa; Arthropoda; Insecta; Lepidoptera; Bombycidae.
UGGAUAUAAAAGACGCUGGUCGUGCCA